Nomascus leucogenys (northern white-cheeked gibbon) is the source of this 101-nucleotide small nucleolar RNA. It matches the Rfam family "Small nucleolar RNA U13". Lineage: Eukaryota; Metazoa; Chordata; Mammalia; Primates; Hylobatidae. The record is from Rfam.
AUCCUUUUGUAGUUCAUCAGUGUCAUGAGUGGGUUUUCAAGCACGUGUCAAAUGUGUCUCCCUCAAACUGUUAUGUCGUUGGCAUAUUACCUAACGUGAAA